RNAcentral lists this ribosomal RNA (2901 nucleotides) under Escherichia coli 08BKT055439. RNAcentral describes it as "bacterial LSU rRNA". It matches the Rfam family "Bacterial large subunit ribosomal RNA". RNAcentral also lists the same sequence under 1 other name. The record is from RNAcentral. Lineage: Bacteria; Pseudomonadati; Pseudomonadota; Gammaproteobacteria; Enterobacterales; Enterobacteriaceae.
UAAGCGACUAAGCGUACACGGUGGAUGCCCUGGCAGUCAGAGGCGAUGAAGGACGUGCUAAUCUGCGAUAAGCGUCGGUAAGGUGAUAUGAACCGUUAUAACCGGCGAUUUCCGAAUGGGGAAACCCAGUGUGAUUCGUCACACUAUCAUUAACUGAAUCCAUAGGUUAAUGAGGCGAACCGGGGGAACUGAAACAUCUAAGUACCCCGAGGAAAAGAAAUCAACCGAGAUUCCCCCAGUAGCGGCGAGCGAACGGGGAGGAGCCCAGAGCCUGAAUCAGUGUGUGUGUUAGUGGAAGCGUCUGGAAAGGCGCGCGAUACAGGGUGACAGCCCCGUACACAAAAAUGCACAUGCUGUGAGCUCGAUGAGUAGGGCGGGACACGUGGUAUCCUGUCUGAAUAUGGGGGGACCAUCCUCCAAGGCUAAAUACUCCUGACUGACCGAUAGUGAACCAGUACCGUGAGGGAAAGGCGAAAAGAACCCCGGCGAGGGGAGUGAAAAAGAACCUGAAACCGUGUACGUACAAGCAGUGGGAGCACAGAGCAAUCUGUGUGACUGCGUACCUUUUGUAUAAUGGGUCAGCGACUUAUAUUCUGUAGCAAGGUUAACCGAAUAGGGGAGCCGAAGGGAAACCGAGUCUUAACCGGGCGUUAAGUUGCAGGGUAUAGACCCGAAACCCGGUGAUCUAGCCAUGGGCAGGUUGAAGGUUGGGUAACACUAACUGGAGGACCGAACCGACUAAUGUUGAAAAAUUAGCGGAUGACUUGUGGCUGGGGGUGAAAGGCCAAUCAAACCGGGAGAUAGCUGGUUCUCCCCGAAAGCUAUUUAGGUAGCGCCUCGUGAAUUCAUCUCCGGGGGUAGAGCACUGUUUCGGCAAGGGGGUCAUCCCGACUUACCAACCCGAUGCAAACUGCGAAUACCGGAGAAUGUUAUCACGGGAGACACACGGCGGGUGCUAACGUCCGUCGUGAAGAGGGAAACAACCCAGACCGCCAGCUAAGGUCCCAAAGUCAUGGUUAAGUGGGAAACGAUGUGGGAAGGCCCAGACAGCCAGGAUGUUGGCUUAGAAGCAGCCAUCAUUUAAAGAAAGCGUAAUAGCUCACUGGUCGAGUCGGCCUGCGCGGAAGAUGUAACGGGGCUAAACCAUGCACCGAAGCUGCGGCAGCGACACUGUGUGUUGUUGGGUAGGGGAGCGUUCUGUAAGCCUGUGAAGGUGUGCUGUGAGGCAUGCUGGAGGUAUCAGAAGUGCGAAUGCUGACAUAAGUAACGAUAAAGCGGGUGAAAAGCCCGCUCGCCGGAAGACCAAGGGUUCCUGUCCAACGUUAAUCGGGGCAGGGUGAGUCGACCCCUAAGGCGAGGCCGAAAGGCGUAGUCGAUGGGAAACAGGUUAAUAUUCCUGUACUUGGUGUUACUGCGAAGGGGGGACGGAGAAGGCUAUGUUGGCCGGGCGACGGUUGUCCCGGUUUAAGCGUGUAGGCUGGUUUUCCAGGCAAAUCCGGAAAAUCAAGGCUGAGGCGUGAUGACGAGGCACUACGGUGCUGAAGCAACAAAUGCCCUGCUUCCAGGAAAAGCCUCUAAGCAUCAGGUAACAUCAAAUCGUACCCCAAACCGACACAGGUGGUCAGGUAGAGAAUACCAAGGCGCUUGAGAGAACUCGGGUGAAGGAACUAGGCAAAAUGGUGCCGUAACUUCGGGAGAAGGCACGCUGAUAUGUAGGUGAAGUCCCUCGCGGAUGGAGCUGAAAUCAGUCGAAGAUACCAGCUGGCUGCAACUGUUUAUUAAAAACACAGCACUGUGCAAACACGAAAGUGGACGUAUACGGUGUGACGCCUGCCCGGUGCCGGAAGGUUAAUUGAUGGGGUCAGCGCAAGCGAAGCUCUUGAUCGAAGCCCCGGUAAACGGCGGCCGUAACUAUAACGGUCCUAAGGUAGCGAAAUUCCUUGUCGGGUAAGUUCCGACCUGCACGAAUGGCGUAAUGAUGGCCAGGCUGUCUCCACCCGAGACUCAGUGAAAUUGAACUCGCUGUGAAGAUGCAGUGUACCCGCGGCAAGACGGAAAGACCCCGUGAACCUUUACUAUAGCUUGACACUGAACAUUGAGCCUUGAUGUGUAGGAUAGGUGGGAGGCUUUGAAGUGUGGACGCCAGUCUGCAUGGAGCCGACCUUGAAAUACCACCCUUUAAUGUUUGAUGUUCUAACGUGGACCCGUGAUCCGGGUUGCGGACAGUGUCUGGUGGGUAGUUUGACUGGGGCGGUCUCCUCCUAAAGAGUAACGGAGGAGCACGAAGGUUGGCUAAUCCUGGUCGGACAUCAGGAGGUUAGUGCAAUGGCAUAAGCCAGCUUGACUGCGAGCGUGACGGCGCGAGCAGGUGCGAAAGCAGGUCAUAGUGAUCCGGUGGUUCUGAAUGGAAGGGCCAUCGCUCAACGGAUAAAAGGUACUCCGGGGAUAACAGGCUGAUACCGCCCAAGAGUUCAUAUCGACGGCGGUGUUUGGCACCUCGAUGUCGGCUCAUCACAUCCUGGGGCUGAAGUAGGUCCCAAGGGUAUGGCUGUUCGCCAUUUAAAGUGGUACGCGAGCUGGGUUUAGAACGUCGUGAGACAGUUCGGUCCCUAUCUGCCGUGGGCGCUGGAGAACUGAGGGGGGCUGCUCCUAGUACGAGAGGACCGGAGUGGACGCAUCACUGGUGUUCGGGUUGUCAUGCCAAUGGCACUGCCCGGUAGCUAAAUGCGGAAGAGAUAAGUGCUGAAAGCAUCUAAGCACGAAACUUGCCCCGAGAUGAGUUCUCCCUGACCCUUUAAGGGUCCUGAAGGAACGUUGAAGACGACGACGUUGAUAGGCCGGGUGUGUAAGCGCAGCGAUGCGUUGAGCUAACCGGUACUAAUGAACCGUGAGGCUUAACCU